Molecule: non-coding RNA, 220 nt
Organism: Cyanistes caeruleus (blue tit)
Lineage: Eukaryota; Metazoa; Chordata; Aves; Passeriformes; Paridae
Source: RefSeq, a predicted model, not a curated record
GACGGACAGCGGCGGGAAUGGCUGGCGAGCUGAGCGCUGAGGCGGAGCGGGAGAUCCGCCAGCUGCAGAAAUCCAAGGAAAAGUGGCAGCGCCUGGGGAAAGCCGCGGAGGCGGCGGCGGCCUGCGAGCGCCUGGGAGAGAUCCUGGCGGGACACGGCCGUUUCCGGGCGGCUCUGCGGGAGCACCGGGAUCAGCUGCGGCUCCUGGAGGCCGCUCCCGC